RNAcentral lists this ribosomal RNA (717 nucleotides) under Lactococcus lactis. RNAcentral's name for it is "bacterial SSU rRNA". It matches the Rfam family "Bacterial small subunit ribosomal RNA", at positions 49 to 749 of the family's 1533-position model. Lineage: Bacteria; Bacillati; Bacillota; Bacilli; Lactobacillales; Streptococcaceae. The record is from RNAcentral.
UAAUACAUGCAAGUUGAGCGAUGAAGAUUGGUGCUUGCACCAAUUUGAAGAGCAGCGAACGGGUGAGUAACGCGUGGGGAAUCUGCCUUUGAGCGGGGGACAACAUUUGGAAACGAAUGCUAAUACCGCAUAACAACUUUAAACAUAAGUUUUAAGUUUGAAAGAUGCAAUUGCAUCACUCAAAGAUGAUCCCGCGUUGUAUUAGCUAGUUGGUGAGGUAAAGGCUCACCAAGGCGAUGAUACAUAGCCGACCUGAGAGGGUGAUCGGCCACAUUGGGACUGAGACACGGCCCAAACUCCUACGGGAGGCAGCAGUAGGGAAUCUUCGGCAAUGGACGAAAGUCUGACCGAGCAACGCCGCGUGAGUGAAGAAGGUUUUCGGAUCGUAAAACUCUGUUGGUAGAGAAGAACGUUGGUGAGAGUGGAAAGCUCAUCAAGUGACGGUAACUACCCAGAAAGGGACGGCUAACUACGUGCCAGCAGCCGCGGUAAUACGUAGGUCCCGAGCGUUGUCCGGAUUUAUUGGGCGUAAAGCGAGCGCAGGUGGUUUAUUAAGUCUGGUGUAAAAGGCAGUGGCUCAACCAUUGUAUGCAUUGGAAACUGGUAGACUUGAGUGCAGGAGAGGAGAGUGGAAUUCCAUGUGUAGCGGUGAAAUGCGUAGAUAUAUGGAGGAACACCGGUGGCGAAAGCGGCUCUCUGGCCUGUAACUGACACUGA